Molecule: long non-coding RNA, 757 nt
Organism: Pseudoliparis swirei
Lineage: Eukaryota; Metazoa; Chordata; Actinopteri; Perciformes; Liparidae
Exons: 2
Source: RefSeq, a predicted model, not a curated record
ACCGAUUGACCUGUGAGUCUUCAAGCAGUAAUGAUGACUACGCCUGCCUUAAGUUCCAGUUUCCUGAACAUCAUGGCAUGUCUGCAGGAGAUUCGGUCCCCACCUGUCUUCAGUCUGGACCUAAUGACUCAGACACCAGUCUUGUCGAGGCUAAAUCGAGAGAGGAUCACCUGAUGUCAACAUACGAGUUUUCAAGAAGAACUUCCUGAACUUUGAGUCUGUGUGAGACUCUACCAUGCUGGGUGCCCUCUUCAGUCAAGUCUGGACACAGAGACUCAUUGCUCUUCAUCAACUCUGGGCAAGUGGCUAAUCUUUUGCUUAUUCAUGGGAUAUCCUUCAUGUCCACAUCCUGUUUCUUCAAGAUCUCAACAAUGCUUUGUGAGUAUACAACACAUGUGAGUGGAUCAGUUCAACCUGUUUUUCACAGAAUGUUAGUUUCUUAAGGUUUUCAUCAACGAUGGUUUGUAUCUUGUUUUCCAAAAGGUGUUAUUAAGAUAUUUCCAUUUGUAAUUUACAAUAAUCAAAUGUUGACUGUAAAAUCAAUGCCAACCUAUUGUUAUACACUGUACCAUGUUUUUGCAAAGGAAUUCUGGUGACUUUAGUUGCCAGCAACUUCCUUUGAACUUUGUAAUAAAAUACCGUAACUGUAAUAAAGUUUACAGCAUAACUGUUGUUUUUACAAAACUUACUGUCAUGUCUUGUAUGUUCACCGUUAAUUGGAACUUUUCAAUAAAGUACCAUAAUAUAUUAUACAGUU